AAUAAUGUGAUGAGCAACUUAUUUAAGCCAAAACAGUUAUCCCUGUCAUAAGAACAAUUGAUGAUGCAAAUAUCUGACAAAAUA
This is a small nucleolar RNA of Drosophila innubila, 84 nucleotides long. RefSeq annotates it as small nucleolar RNA R38. The record is from RefSeq and is a predicted model, not a curated record. The transcript has a single exon. Lineage: Eukaryota; Metazoa; Arthropoda; Insecta; Diptera; Drosophilidae.